Molecule: ribosomal RNA, 550 nt
Filed under: uncultured bacterium
Lineage: Bacteria
Description: bacterial SSU rRNA
Rfam family: Bacterial small subunit ribosomal RNA
Source: RNAcentral
UUUAUGCGCUAUCAGAUGAGCCCGCGGUGGAUUAGUUUGUUGGUGGGGUAAUGGCCUACCAAGACUGCGAUCUAUAGCUGUUCUGAGAGGAAGAUCAGCCACACUGGAACUGAGACACGGUCCAGACUCCUACGGGAGGCAGCAGUGGGGAAUAUUGCACAAUGGGCGCAAGCCUGAUGCAGCAACGCCGUGUGAGUGAAGAAGGCCUUAGGGUUGUAAAACUCUUUUAGCUGUGAAGAUAAUGACUGUAGCAGCAGAAAAAGUCCCGGCUAACUUCGUGCCAGCAGCCGCGGUAAUACGAAGGGGGCUAGCGUUACUCGGAAUCACUGGGCGUAAAGCGUACGCAGGUGGCUUGAUUAGUCAGAAGUGAAAGCCCAAGGCUCAACCUUGGAACUGCUUUUGAUACUGUCAAGCUAGAGUUUGGAAGGGGAUGAUGGAAUUUCUAGUGUAGAGGUGAAAUUCGUAGAUAUUAGAAGGAACGCCAAUGGCGAAGGCAAUCAUCUGGUACAUAACUGACACUGAGGUACGAAAGCGUGGGUAGUAAACAGGA